GAUGAACGCUGGCGGCGUGCCUAAUACAUGCAAGUCGAGCGAACAGACGAGGAGCUUGCUCCUCUGACGUUAGCGGCGGACGGGUGAGUAACACGUGGAUAACCUACCUAUAAGACUGGGAUAACUUCGGGAAACCGGAGCUAAUACCGGAUAAUAUAUUGAACCGCAUGGUUCAAUAGUGAAAGACGGUUUUGCUGUCACUUAUAGAUGGAUCCGCGCCGCAUUAGCUAGUUGGUAAGGUAACGGCUUACCAAGGCAACGAUGCGUAGCCGACCUGAGAGGGUGAUCGGCCACACUGGAACUGAGACACGGUCCAGACUCCUACGGGAGGCAGCAGUAGGGAAUCUUCCGCAAUGGGCGAAAGCUUGACGGAGCAACGCCGCGUGAGUGAUGAAGGUGUUCGGAUCGUAAAACUCUGUUAUUAGGGAAAAACAAAUGUGUAAGUAAAUAUGCACGUCUUGACGGUACCUAAUCAAAAAGCCACGGCUAACUACGUG
Molecule: ribosomal RNA, 497 nt
Filed under: uncultured bacterium
Lineage: Bacteria
Description: partial 16S ribosomal RNA
Rfam family: Bacterial small subunit ribosomal RNA
Source: RNAcentral